RNAcentral lists this long non-coding RNA (359 nucleotides) under Panax ginseng (ginseng). RNAcentral describes it as "long non-coding RNA (PGIN_LNC014890)". The record is from RNAcentral. Lineage: Eukaryota; Viridiplantae; Streptophyta; Magnoliopsida; Apiales; Araliaceae.
ACAGCUUUACUACAUAAAAAAACACAACUUUAACCAGAAUCCGAACAAGGGUUUUCACCAAUCAAGGGCAAAAUUAAAGGGUCGAUGCUACUGGGUUUCUGACGGGAAAAUUACCCCUCUUACCUUCCAUAAACAAUCAAAUUACUAGAACCACAGGUUAAAUAUGAGUGUGUAUGUACAUAUAAGAGAGACUGCAAUCGAAUUGGGGAUAGUUAGGCCAAAGCCUUGCCGGAAUUGGAGGAGAUAAUACCGGAGGUCGCCGUAGAAUAGGGAGGAGAUGUUGUGUCGCCAGAGCUCCGGGAGGCGAAAUCGGAGAUGAAUUAGCCCAGCAACGUCUCUGUUUGAACUGAAGAAGAGAA